Molecule: transfer RNA, 72 nt
Filed under: Dialister histaminiformans
Lineage: Bacteria; Bacillati; Bacillota; Negativicutes; Veillonellales; Veillonellaceae
Also listed under: 1 other name
Description: Allisonella histaminiformans tRNA
Rfam family: tRNA
About the family: Transfer RNA (tRNA) molecules are approximately 80 nucleotides in length. Their secondary structure includes four short double-helical elements and three loops (D, anti-codon, and T loops). Further hydrogen bonds mediate the characteristic L-shaped molecular structure. tRNAs have two regions of fundamental functional importance: the anti-codon, which is responsible for specific mRNA codon recognition, and the 3' end, to which the tRNAs corresponding amino acid is attached (by aminoacyl-tRNA synthetases). tRNAs cope with the degeneracy of the genetic code in two manners: having more than one tRNA (with a specific anti-codon) for a particular amino acid; and 'wobble' base-pairing, i.e. permitting non-standard base-pairing at the 3rd anti-codon position.
Source: Rfam by way of RNAcentral
UCCUGAAUAGCUCAGUGGUAGAGCAAUCGGCUGUUAACCGAUCGGUCGUAGGUUCGAGCCCUACUUCAGGAG